GCAGCCUGACGGAGCGACGCCGCGUGCGGGAUGAAGGCCUUCGGGUUGUAAACCGCUGUCAGUAGGGAGCAAAUGCAUUAGGGCAAUCUCUAAUGUUUGAGCGAUCUGCAGAGGAAGUCCGGGCUAAGUACGUGCCAGCAGCCGCGGUAACACGUACCGGACGAACGUUAUUCGGAAUCACUGGGCUUAAAGAGUCCGUAGGCGGCUCGGUAGGUGAGGUGUGAAAUCCCACGGCUCAACCGUGGAACUGCGCUUCAAACCACCGGGCUUGAGGGAGAUAGAGGUGAGCGGAACUGAUGGUGGAGCGGUGAAAUGCGUUGAUAUCAUCAGGAACACCGGUGGCGAAAGCGGCUCACUGGGUCUCUUCUGACGCUGAGGGACGAAAGCUAGGGGAGCGAACGGGAUUAGAUACCCCGGUAGUCCUAGCUGUAAACGAUGAGCACUAGUCCGAGGGGACCUCCACAUCUUC
RNAcentral lists this ribosomal RNA (469 nucleotides) under uncultured bacterium. RNAcentral describes it as "bacterial SSU rRNA". It matches the Rfam family "Bacterial small subunit ribosomal RNA", at positions 378 to 841 of the family's 1533-position model. The record is from RNAcentral.